RNAcentral lists this ribosomal RNA (456 nucleotides) under Triticum aestivum (bread wheat). RNAcentral's name for it is "partial small subunit ribosomal RNA". Lineage: Eukaryota; Viridiplantae; Streptophyta; Magnoliopsida; Poales; Poaceae. The record is from RNAcentral.
AUGAACGUUGCGCUCAUGCUUCAUUGGGUGUGGCGGAUCUUGCGGGGAGAUGGAGGCUUGCGGCUGCAGCUAAUUGAGUCCAAGUACUUGCAGGGCCAGCCCCUCUUGGCUUGCGCGUACUCGGCUGGAUCCCAGUUUUGGAAAUCGAUUCAGGACAUCAAAGUUGAGAUUAGCCUGGGCUUGCAGUUCUUGGUUGGCAAUGGGUCUGGGACCCAGUUCUGGUUGGACACCUGGCUUGAUAGCGAGCCUCUCCGCAUGCGGUUUCCGAGGCUCUUUGCGAUUUGUGACGACCCGGUUGUUCUUGUAUCUGCGGCUGCUUUGGAUGAGGGAUGGAAUAUUGCGUUUCACCCCUCAUUCGGACCAGCCGAGGUACAAGAAUGGAAAGAAUUGAGGGAAGUAGUCCCUCUUCAUAUGUCCCAGGAUCCUGACUUUGUUUCUUGGAGCCUCUCUCCUUAG